Bombus impatiens (common eastern bumble bee) is the source of this 728-nucleotide long non-coding RNA. RefSeq lists it as uncharacterized. NCBI's taxonomy places the organism in Eukaryota, Metazoa, Arthropoda, Insecta, Hymenoptera, Apidae. The transcript has 3 exons. The record is from RefSeq and is a predicted model, not a curated record.
CUGUAAGCAAUUCUAAGUAAUAGUGGUUGACCGACACGAGGCACCACACAGUCGUUUUGUGGAUUCGCACAUGGUCACAUGUGCGUCAGGUUGAAGGAUGCCUACGAUAUGGAUAUAUAUAUCAGUUGAUAAUGAAUGCUAAACAAAGAAUUAUAAAGUUAAUCUGUUAAAUUUUGAUAGAAGAGAAUAUACUAAUAUAAAAGAUGUAACACUUGACCAACCAUUGAUUUAUUUAAGAAUAAAUAAAGGUAGCACCCGUGUAUAGACGUAUGUAUAGAUUCUUAUGGAAUCAGAAGAUUGAACUGCCAAGAUUGUUUCAAAUGUAUUCCAGCAGUAGUUAAUGAUAUCCAUAUUGCUCAUAUAUCACUGUUACAUUUCGUAAAUUAAAUUGGUGCUCAAAGUCUUUGGAUCUCCAGAAACCUAUGUACGGAUUUCGUGUUAUUCAACUAAACCUAUUCUCCUGUCAAGUAAAUCAUUAUAAAUCUUCUCUUAUGUUGGUAUGGUGAGUCUCUUUUUAUUAUCUUUAUUACAAGAUGCAUGUAAUCAUAUGUUUCCUUUUUAUUAUGGCGGAUUUAAAUGAUGUAAUGCGUGCCUUUGCCAAUGAAUGUUUACAAAUAACCAUGAUCCUGCUUGAUCCGAUAAGCCCUGUAUUAAAAGUAUAAUUAAAAACAUCGGACCAACGGAGUGAGAUCUCUAUUUAUAACGUGCCGCCUGCGUAUGGAAAAGAG